Molecule: long non-coding RNA, 306 nt
Organism: Solanum tuberosum (potato)
Lineage: Eukaryota; Viridiplantae; Streptophyta; Magnoliopsida; Solanales; Solanaceae
Exons: 3
Source: RefSeq, a predicted model, not a curated record
GUGGCUGAUAUUAAAACUUAAGAGGUGGGGAAAAAUAAGACCUUUAUAAUCCCCAAGUUGCUGGCCAUUUCCUCACUUUUAAGAAUAGAUAAAAAAUCAGACUUCUAUUUAAGCUUCUCCUCUCUCUUUCAAAGCAUAGCAGCAGCCACAAGUUUCCUAGGGUUCUUGGAUAAACCCAAGCCCUUGCAAGGGAAGCUCAAGUUAUUGAAGAGUUAAAGUUAAAAGAAAACGAGUUAUAAGAAUUAAGAUAAGUAUUUGAAAAGAAAGGAAGGUACUUCAAGGUAACUACAAGGUGGUACAACAAGG